AGAGCGAACGCUGGCGGCAGGCCUAACACAUGCAAGUCGAGCGCCCCGCAAGGGGAGCGGCAGACGGGAGAGUAACACGUGGGAACGUACCCUUCAGUUCGGAACAACCCAGGGAAACUUGGGCUAAUACCGAAUACGUCCGUAAGGAGAAAGAUUUAUCGCUGAAGGAUCGGCCCGCGUCUGAUUAGCUUGUUGGUGAGGUAACGGCUCACCAAGGCGACGAUCAGUAGCUGGUCUGAGAGGAUGAUCAGCCUCACUGGGACUGAGACACGGCCCAGACUCCUACGGGAGGCAGCAGUGGGGAAUAUUGGACAAUGGGCGCAAGCCUGAUCCAGCCAUGCCGCGUGGGUGAUGAAGGCCCUAGGGUUGUAAAGCCCUUUCGGGCGGGAAGAUAAUGACGGUACCCGCAGAAGAAGCCCCGGCUAACUUCGCGCCAGCAGCCGC
Molecule: ribosomal RNA, 444 nt
Filed under: uncultured bacterium
Lineage: Bacteria
Description: SSU rRNA
Rfam family: Bacterial small subunit ribosomal RNA
Source: RNAcentral